RNAcentral lists this ribosomal RNA (505 nucleotides) under Heterixalus betsileo (Betsileo reed frog). Its description in RNAcentral is "partial 16S ribosomal RNA". It matches the Rfam family "Bacterial large subunit ribosomal RNA", at positions 1940 to 2607 of the family's 2925-position model. Lineage: Eukaryota; Metazoa; Chordata; Amphibia; Anura; Hyperoliidae. The record is from RNAcentral.
UCAUAACCGUGCGAAGGUAGCAUAAUAAAUUGUUCUCUAAAUAGGGACUAGUAUGAAAGGCACCACGAGGGCUUAACUGUCUCCCUUUUCCAAUUAAUGAAACUGAUCUUCUCGUGAAGAAGCGAGAAUAAAAAUAUAAGACGAGAAGACCCCAUGGAGCUUUAAACUCAUCAUCAUUUACUCUUUAUUACAUCAUUACAUGCAGUAAAAUUGUUACCUGAGAGUUUUCGGCUGGGGUGACCCUGGAGCAAAACAAAUCCUCCAGGAUGAACGGAAUAANAAUCCUAAUCAAAGAGCUACAGCUCUAAGAAUCAAAAUAUUGACAUAAUUUGAUCCAAUUACUUGAUCAACGAACCAAGUUACCCUGGGGAUAACAGCGCAAUCCAUUUCAAGAGCCCCUAUCGACAAAUGGGUUUACGACCUCGAUGUUGGAUCGGGGUAUCCCGGUGGCGCAGCCGCUACUAAAGGUUCGUUUGUUCAACGAUUAAUAACCCCACGUGAUCUG